Molecule: long non-coding RNA, 569 nt
Filed under: Glycine max (soybean)
Lineage: Eukaryota; Viridiplantae; Streptophyta; Magnoliopsida; Fabales; Fabaceae
Description: long non-coding RNA (GMAX_LNC004091)
Source: RNAcentral
AUAAAACAAACUAUCCUCCAUGAGUUUAACUUCAUCGAACCCAGUUUCAUCAAAUACACACGCAUUACGAUGAAGCCAUAUGCUCCAAAAAAUGGUGCACCACGCAAUCUGUCAUCUCUGAUUUGUUACUUUAGAUCCGUGUAGAAUGUUAGCUAAAAUGAUCAUCCACAAACCAUGGGCAUGCCGAGAUAAUUCCUACCUUCUGAUACCACUGUCACCAAACAUAAGAUACUCGAGGACACACAAAGAGGAUAUGAUUAAUGGAUUCAUCCACCUGGAAACAAAAAGCACAUCUGAAAUCAUCGUUUAACACAUGGAUACCCCUUUUACAAAGGUUAUCCCUAGUGGCAACCUUCAAAGCUGCCCUCCAAACAAAAAGCUUGACUUUUGGAGGCACAUCGAACUUCCACAAAAGUGUAAAACAAGCAAAAACUUGGGGAAAAUUCUGCAUUUCCUAUAGAGUAUGAUAAUUCACAUAAUAGUAUCCCAUUUGUUCCCCUGCCCAAAACCAUUUAUCUGCUUGUGUCGGCCUUAACGUCAUAUUAUGGGUUAAAUUUAAUUACUAAUGC